UGUUUCUCCGGGGCACAAAGAGGAUCCGUGGAAUUUCGUUGUGCCACGAAGAUCGAGGCUUUCUCGGGGCUCGAUGCUGAGAAGAGAGGAAUGAGCAAAUGUUAGAACGAAAGAUAGAUUUGUAAUUGUAUGCAUGACGAUAGAAAUAGAAAGAAAAAUACGUAAUGCACGAGGAAUUGGUGUGUAUGAGACAACUAUAAUCGAAAUAACACGUUAAACACGAACCAAAAACAUCUUGUAAAGAACACCUGUAUUCUUUAUUUGUCUUUAGUAAUUUCAAAUAUGAGAAGUCCGAAGUUUCUCAAUUUUAGAUCACGAUUUUAGAAUUAUGAAAUGUUUCACAGAAUCUGAUGAUCCUAUGUGUAAAUACUACGCGUGACAGCUACCCGGCUACAAAUUUAGAAUUAGAAGCAUGAAGAAUUAUAAGGAUAUUGUUC
RNAcentral lists this unclassified non-coding RNA (437 nucleotides) under Bombus terrestris (buff-tailed bumblebee). Its description in RNAcentral is "misc RNA ENSBTSG00005025315.1". The record is from RNAcentral. Lineage: Eukaryota; Metazoa; Arthropoda; Insecta; Hymenoptera; Apidae.